RNAcentral lists this ribosomal RNA (944 nucleotides) under uncultured Oryzihumus sp. RNAcentral describes it as "bacterial SSU rRNA". It matches the Rfam family "Bacterial small subunit ribosomal RNA", at positions 347 to 1290 of the family's 1533-position model. Lineage: Bacteria; Bacillati; Actinomycetota; Actinomycetes; Micrococcales; Intrasporangiaceae. The record is from RNAcentral.
GGCAGCAGUGGGGAAUAUUGCACAAUGGGCGAAAGCCUGAUGCAGCGACCCCCCGUGAGGGAUGAAGGCCUUCGGGUUGUAAACCUCUUUCAGCAGGGAAGAAGUGGUUGGGUUUUCUCGGUCGUGACGGUACCUGCAGAAGAAGCACCGGCUAACUACGUGCCAGCAGCCGCGGUAAUACGUAGGGUGCAAGCGUUGUCCGGAAUUAUUGGGCGUAAAGAGCUUGUAGGCGGUUUGUCGCGUCUGCUGUGAAAUUUCGGGGCUCAACCCCGAACUUGCAGUGGGUACGGGCAGACUAGAGUGUGGUAGGGGAGACUGGAAUUCCUGGUGUAGCGGUGAAAUGCGCAGAUAUCAGGAGGAACACCGAUGGCGAAGGCAGGUCUCUGGGCCACUACUGACGCUGAGAAGCGAAAGCAUGGGGAGCGAACAGGAUUAGAUACCCUGGUAGUCCAUGCCGUAAACGUUGGGAACUAGGUGUGGGUCUCAUUCCACGAGGUCCGUGCCGCAGCUAACGCAUUAAGUUCCCCGCCUGGGGAGUACGGCCGCAAGGCUAAAACUCAAAGGAAUUGACGGGGGCCCGCACAAGCGGCGGAGCAUGCGGAUUAAUUCGAUGCAACGCGAAGAACCUUACCAAGGCUUGACAUGUGCCGGAAAAGUGCAGAGAUGUGCUCCCCGCAAGGUCGGUACACAGGUGGUGCAUGGUUGUCGUCAGCUCGUGUCGUGAGAUGUUGGGUUAAGUCCCGCAACGAGCGCAACCCUCGUUCUAUGUUGCCAGCACGUGAUGGUGGGGACUCAUAGGAGACUGCCGGGGUCAACUCGGAGGAAGGUGGGGAUGACGUCAAAUCAUCAUGCCCCUUAUGUCUUGGGCUUCACCCGUGCUACAAUGGCCACUACAAAAGGCCGCGAUACCGCAAGGUGGAGCAAAUCCCUAAAAACUGGUCUCA